ACGCACGAUGCACCCCGGGCUUCUCUGAGAGUUAUCACUGAAGAAGAAAGCCCCAAUGCUCGUGCUAAAACGGCGCCGUCAAGUGUUGCAGUUUAGCUUCGCUCUUUCCUACAGCUUUGUCUGUGUCAAAUCGACGGCCACAUCU
Rosa rugosa (rugosa rose) is the source of this 145-nucleotide small nucleolar RNA. RefSeq annotates it as small nucleolar RNA snoR134. The record is from RefSeq and is a predicted model, not a curated record. The transcript has a single exon. NCBI's taxonomy places the organism in Eukaryota, Viridiplantae, Streptophyta, Magnoliopsida, Rosales, Rosaceae.